RNAcentral lists this ribosomal RNA (443 nucleotides) under uncultured bacterium. RNAcentral describes it as "partial 16S ribosomal RNA". It matches the Rfam family "Bacterial small subunit ribosomal RNA", at positions 338 to 795 of the family's 1533-position model. The record is from RNAcentral.
CCUACGGGAGGCAGCAGUGGGGAAUCUUGGGCAAUGUGCGCAACCCUGACCCAGCAACGCCGCGUGACGGAAGAAGGCUCUCGGGUUGUAAACUUCUUUUAUCAGGGACGAAGCAAGUGACGGUACCUGAUGAAUAAGCCACGGCUAACUACGUGCCAGCAGCCGCGGUACUAAGUAGGUGGCAAGCGUUAUCCGGAUUUACUGGGUGUAAAGGGCGUGUAGGCGGGAAAGCAAGUCAGAUGUGAAAACCAUGGGCUCAACCUGUGGCCUGCAUUUGAAACUGUUUGUCUUGAGUGCUGGGGAGGCAGACGGAAUUCCUAGGGUAGCGGUGAAAUGCGUAGAUAUUAGGAGGAACACCAGUGGCGAAGGCGGUCUGCUGGACAGCAACGGACGCUGAGGCGCGAAAGCGUGGGGAGCAAACAGGAUUAGAUACCCUUGUAGUC